ACUUAAAUAGCUUAAAUAGAGCGUAAUAUUGAAGAUAUUAAGGUGGCAUUAGCCUUUAGGUA
Molecule: transfer RNA, 62 nt
Filed under: Meliboeus sinae
Lineage: Eukaryota; Metazoa; Arthropoda; Insecta; Coleoptera; Buprestidae
Description: tRNA-Phe
Source: RNAcentral